This 516-nucleotide long non-coding RNA is filed under the name Brachypodium distachyon (stiff brome). Its description in RNAcentral is "long non-coding RNA (BDIS_LNC005728)". Lineage: Eukaryota; Viridiplantae; Streptophyta; Magnoliopsida; Poales; Poaceae. The record is from RNAcentral.
ACAUGUGCAUGGCAUCCAGAAGCAUCAUGUCACAAUUGCAUAUUUGAAUUCAAAUUUGAAUCUCAAAAGGCCUUAAAAGAUUUUAUUUCAAUUUAAACCCUACGGUUUACACCCAUUUGAGCUUUGGAUCUUCAAACCAAUAGGGUUUAAUUAUAAAAGGGGUUUAUUGCAUAAAUAGACAAUCCCAUAUUUUUUGGAUAAUUAUUUGGAGUUGAAAAAGUAUUUUAUUUAAAUAAUUAUAAAGCCCUAAAGGCAUUUCUAGGGAAAAUGUAUUUUGAUGUAUUUUAUUUUGAGGAUAAAUUACUCCCAAAAAUUGAAUCAUGAUAGAACAUGAUUUUACAAAUUUUCUGGAAUUUAUUUGGACCAAUUUGGAGUUCAAAAUCAAAAGAUACCAAAGAAAUGAGAAAAAGGAAAAAAGAAAAGGCUAAAAGAAAAAAAAAGAGAAAAAAAAAAGAAAGAGAACCGGACCGACCCAACUGGGCCGGCCCCGUCUCGCGCGCGCCAGCCCGUUUGCCC